UUCAGAUCGUAUAAAUCUUUCGCCUUUUACUAAAGAUUUCCGUGGAGAGGAACACUCAGAGUUUUAACUAAUUUUUUGUGGCCCUACUUUUCAGUAGGGCUGUUCUAAAGUUCAAUGAAAGAUCUUACGUUUGUUUAGAUGUGUGUGCGGUGUUGUUACACGCUACACAGAAACAAACUUUGAAUGUACUACUCCUUCAUAUGUAAGUCGGUGCUGCUGUGCCGAAUCGCUGCUAUGGUUAUGUCACCAUGACCUUCGUGACAGGACUGCAGAAAGGGAAGAAAAGAAAUUAAAAGAGAAGCAAAACCACCACCAUUUCAGAUUUCUUUUUAACAUUGUGCCUUUAUUUGAGAAAGGCCGCAAAGAAAAGCCAGGGAUCAAGUGAGACUGACAUCAGCGGUAGACAUGGGUACACUAAUAGGCAUUCACUUCAUGCACAACAUGACUGACAGGAUGAGCAGAACCCACACAAAGUAAACAAGCGGCUGGAAGAAGGAUGAGACAGAAGAUGGUGGAGGAGAUCUCAGCAGGAGAUGCUGCCAAACCUGCAGAGCUUUUCCAGCAACUUCUGUUUUUGUUCCUGUUGCUCUGCCGCCAUCUUGCACCAGGCUGUCUAUGAGUUGAUCUGACCUGUCCAUGAGGUUUCUCCACCACAUUGUCCUGGAUUCCACUAGAUAGUGACAUUUUAAAGUAAAUUAAAACAAAGUUUUCUGAGAGACUCAUUGUUGAGGUGUUAAGCUCGACAGCUUUGAUAAGUGAAAAUAUUCAUCGGACUCAGGUGGAUCUUUUCUCAAACGUACUGGUUUUUAAGGCUUGGCCUUGGUGUUGCUUGGCUGCAGAACCACUUCAACUCAUACCCUAGGUGCAGUCUUAUAAGUGCCUUGUAUAAGUGCAGGAAGGCAUCUCUAACUCAAAUCUUCUUGCAAUGAAAUCCAGCAUACCAUUUGCCUUCUUAAUUGCUUGCUGCACCUGCCUGUUUAAUUUCACUGACUGUCGUACAAGGGCACCCA
Long non-coding RNA from Stegostoma tigrinum, 1010 nucleotides. RefSeq lists it as uncharacterized. Lineage: Eukaryota; Metazoa; Chordata; Chondrichthyes; Orectolobiformes; Stegostomatidae. The record is from RefSeq and is a predicted model, not a curated record. The transcript is spliced from 3 exons.